Gossypium raimondii (Peruvian cotton) is the source of this 107-nucleotide non-coding RNA. NCBI's taxonomy places the organism in Eukaryota, Viridiplantae, Streptophyta, Magnoliopsida, Malvales, Malvaceae. The record is from Rfam.
AAGCCAUGAUAAGAGCACUUACGUAGCAUCAAUUUGAAGAGCUCCCACGCUUCGUAUAAUGACUCUCCCUCGAGUUGUUGAAAGUUAGUGAUAUCCAUUCGAAGCUU